GUCCAGUGUUCCAGGAAAAAAGCAGAAUGAAUCAGGAUUUCAUUUUUGGAGUGUUAUCUGACUGCCUUUGCUUAGUUGUUAAGCACAAGGCUGGAUAUUAGAAAACUGUGAAUUCUACUCCUGCCUGAGGCCCAAAGCCAGCUGGGUAACUUGGGCCAGUGACUCUGUCGACCCUAGGAAAGAGGCAAUGGCAAACUAUUUCCAAAAAGCCUUGCCAAGAAGAUUGCAGAGAUUAGUCCAAGCUACCCCACAGGAAGGUACAAAAAUAAAAACAAAAUA
Pantherophis guttatus is the source of this 279-nucleotide long non-coding RNA. RefSeq lists it as uncharacterized. Lineage: Eukaryota; Metazoa; Chordata; Lepidosauria; Squamata; Colubridae. The record is from RefSeq and is a predicted model, not a curated record.